RNAcentral lists this ribosomal RNA (433 nucleotides) under uncultured bacterium. RNAcentral describes it as "partial 16S ribosomal RNA". It matches the Rfam family "Bacterial small subunit ribosomal RNA", at positions 29 to 507 of the family's 1533-position model. The record is from RNAcentral.
AACGAACGCUGGCGGCAUGCCUAACACAUGCAAGUCGAACGAGACCUUCGGGUCUAGUGGCGCACGGGUGCGUAACGCGUGGGAAUCUGCCCUUGGGUUCGGAAUAACAGUUGGAAACGACUGCUAAUACCGGAUGAUGACGUAAGUCCAAAGAUUUAUCGCCCAAGGAUGAGCCCGCGUAGGAUUAGCUAGUUGGUGAGGUAAAGGCUCACCAAGGCGACGAUCCUUAGCUGGUCUGAGAGGAUGAUCAGCCACACUGGGACUGAGACACGGCCCAGACUCCUACGGGAGGCAGCAGUGGCGAAUAUUGGACAAUGGGCGAAAGCCUGAUCCAGCAAUGCCGCGUGAGUGAUGAAGGCCUUAGGGUUGUAAAGCUCUUUUACCCGGGAUGAUAAUGACAGUACCGGGAGAAUAAGCUCCGGCUAACUCCGUG